AUGUUUUUAUGUUGCUUUAUUAACGCAAUUAUUAUUAUUUUUUAAACAUUGUAUUCAAACUGUUAUGUGACACGUAUUAAUGCCAAAAUAACAUGCUAAUCAGGCUCACCAAAAAAAACAUAUAUUUUUUUUAGCUAAACAGUUGGGGCUGAAAACACCUGAAGGACGGGUCGCCACUGCAUAACAGUCCGUUAUCUUGAUCAGUAAUGGUCUUUUAGGAAAUGGCUACUGUUGACAUGGAUACCGCAACUGUUAUGACUGUUUCUAUGGAAACGGUUACCAAGAGCAAGGUCGGCCUCCCUUGGUGUCAUGGCAACACAACGCCGGCGGAAACAUCAAAUCAACAUCCAGUUCUGGUUAGUAUUAGAUUUUAGUUGUAAACCCAACGUACUUUCAACUUGAAAUAAACCAACGAUACAGUAUAUUGCACUAAUCAAUGAUAAAAGUUGAUGAGAUGAUGGCCUGAGUGUCUGUAUGUUUGUGUUAUCAUGCGAAUUCGUCAUGCCAAACUGGUUAGCUUAAAACAUUGACAAUGACAGCAAGACAUGGAGUUGUCAAGGGCACAAUAGAUUUAGGACCAGGUUAAUAAGAACACAAUAGAUUUAGGACCAGGUUAAUAAUAACACAAUAGAUUUAGGACCAGGUUAAUACGAACACAAUAGAUUUAGGACCAGGUUAAUAAGAACACAACAGAUUUAGGACCAGGUUAAUAAGAACACAACAGAUUUAGGACCAGGUUAAUAAGAACACAAUAGAUUUAGGACCAGGUUAAUAAGAACGCAAUAGAUUUAGGACCAGGUUUAUAAGAACACAAUAGAUUUAGGACCAGGUUAAUAAGAACACAAUAGAUUUAGGACCAGGUUAAUACGAACACAAUAGAUUUAGGACCAGGUUAAUAAGAACACAACAGAUUUAGGACCAGGUUAAUAAGAACACAAUAGAUUUAGGACCAGGUUAAUAAGAACACAAUAGAUUUAGGUCCAGGUUAAUAAGAACACAACAGAUUUAGGACCAGGUUAAUAAGAACACAAUAGAUUUAGGACCAGGUUAAUAAGAACACAACAGAUUUAGGACCAGGUUAAUAAGAACACAACAGAUUUAGGACCAGGUUAAUCAGAACACAAUAGAUUUAGGACCAGGUUAAUAAGAGAGGGAGAGAGAGGCAGAGAGACAGAGAGAGAGAAGGGGAGAGAGAGAGCGAGAGAGAGAGAAGGGGAGAGAGAGAGAGAGAGAGAGAGAGAGAGAGAGAGAGAGAGAGAGAGAGAGAGAGAGAGAGAGAGAAGAGGAGAGAGAGAGAGGAGAGAGAGAGAGAGAGAGAGAGAGAGAGAGAGAGAGAGAGAGAGAGAGAGAGAGAGAGAGAGAGAGAGAGAGAGAGAGAGAGAGAGAGAGAGAGAGAGAGAGAGAGAGAGAGAGAGAGAGAGAGAGAGAGAGGGAGAAGGAGAGAGAGAGAGAGAGAGACAGGUGUGCUUUAGAAUGCUUUGUUUCUAUAUCAAAGUAAAACUUUGCACAGAUUGAUGCUAAAUACCAUUCUGUGUUAGUAACAGUUGAUCCAGGUCAUAUAAACAUGCAGUCUGAUAUGUGGAGGACCAUCACAUCUGCUUGUUUCUAGUUGGAAGGAUAAAUACUACAGUAGAUCCUAAUAACCCAGUCCUUCAGAGCAGGGUGGGAGGAGGGGUGGAAAUUAAGUUGUUCAAUUCAAGUGAAUAGAAAUUACAUGUGAAUUUCUUCAAUUCAGGAUAACUGACUUGUUCUAACAGAUGUUAACUCAACCCCUACCCCUGUCCUAACAGAUGUUAACUUGACCCCUGUCCUAACAGAUGUUAACUUGACCCCUUACCCCUGUCCUAACAGAUGUUAACUUGACCCUUACCUCUGUCCUAACAGAUGUUAACUGACCCCUACCCCUGUUCUAACAGAUUUUAACUUGACCCCUACCCCUGUUCUAACAGAUGUUACCUUGACCCCGACCCCUGUUCUAACAGAUGUUAACUUGACCCUUACCCCUGUUCUAACAGAUGUUAACUUGACCCCGACCCCUAUAAACAAACCAACAUGUGUGCCAUGUACUGUACUGGACAUAGAAUAGAAGUGACUGAAAACACGUCUGGACGGUGAUCAUAUGAAAGUGUCUGGUACCGAAUGCGAGCUGCUCUAUCCGUUCUAAUGUUUGUGUUAAGAAUUGUAAAUCUACUGUCGAAUGUCAAAUGAAUAGUGGAUUUAUUUGUUGAACUCCACGUAAAGGUCACAUAGAUUAAAAAUGUUCAAUAAGUUCAAGACCCCAGAACGCUUUACUGGUAACUCUAUCCUGUGUGUUAGAGAGAGAGGGAGAGAGAGAGAGAGAGAGAGAGAGAGAGAGAGAGAGAGAGGGAGAGAGAGAGAGAGAGAGAGAGAGAGAGAGGGAGAGAGACAUAGAGCGAGAGAGAGAGAGAGACAGAGAGCGAGAGCGAGAGAGAGAGAGACAGAGAGAGAGAGAGAGAGAGAGAGAGCCAGAGAGAGAGAGAGAGGAGAGAGAGAGAAACAGAGAGCAAGAGAGAGAUAGAGACAGAGAGAGAGAGAGAGAGAGAGAGAGAGACAGAGAGACAGAGAGCGAGAGAGAGAGAGAGAGAGAGAGAGGAGAGAGAGAGACAGAGAGAGAGAGCCAGAGAGAGAGAGAGAGAGCCAGAGAGAGAGAGAGAGCCAGAGAGAGAGAGGAGAGAGAGAGC
RNAcentral lists this long non-coding RNA (2702 nucleotides) under Salmo salar (Atlantic salmon). Its description in RNAcentral is "lncRNA (ENSSSAG00000081920.1)". Lineage: Eukaryota; Metazoa; Chordata; Actinopteri; Salmoniformes; Salmonidae. The record is from RNAcentral.